GCUCAAAUUUGAAAUCUGGCAGCCUCCGGUUGUCCGAGUUGUAAACUAGAGAAGCGUUUUCCGUGCCGGCCUGUGUACAAGUCCCUUGGAAUAGGGCGUCAUAGAGGGUGAGAAUCCCGUCCUUGACACAGACCACCGGUGCUAUGUGAUACGCUCUCGACGAGUCGAGUUGUUUGGGAAUGCAGCUCAAAUUGGGUGGUAAAUUCCAUCUAAGGCUAAAUAUUGGCGAGAGACCGAUAGCGAACAAGUACCGUGAGGGAAAGAUGAAAAGCACUUUGGAAAGAGAGUUAAACAGUACGUGAAAUUGUUGAAAGGGAAACGAUUGAAGUCAGUCAUGCGUGCUCGGACUCAGCCGGGGCUUGUCCCUGGUCUACUUCCGGGCGCUGCAGGUCAGCAUCAGUUUUGGGCGGUGGAAAACGGGCGGGGGAAGGUGGCAUCUCCGGAUGUGUUAUAGCCCCCGUUUGGAUGCAUCGCGUGGGACUGAGGAACGCAGCGCGCCCUCUCUGUUGGGGUCGGUCCUUCUGGACACGAACGCGCUUAGGAUG
Molecule: ribosomal RNA, 545 nt
Filed under: Phaffia sp.
Lineage: Eukaryota; Fungi; Basidiomycota; Tremellomycetes; Cystofilobasidiales; Mrakiaceae
Description: partial large subunit ribosomal RNA
Rfam family: Eukaryotic large subunit ribosomal RNA
Source: RNAcentral